RNAcentral lists this ribosomal RNA (515 nucleotides) under uncultured bacterium. Its description in RNAcentral is "partial 16S ribosomal RNA". It matches the Rfam family "Bacterial small subunit ribosomal RNA", at positions 28 to 523 of the family's 1533-position model. The record is from RNAcentral.
GACGAACGCUGGCGGCGUGCCUAAUACAUGCAAGUCGAGCGGACUUUCAAGAAGCUUGCUUUUUGAAAGUUAGCGGCGGACGGGUGAGUAACACGCGGGCAACCUGCCUGUAAGACGGGGAUAACUCCGGGAAACCGGGGCUAAUACCGGAUAAUAUCUUUCUUCGCAUGAAGGAAGGUUGAAAGGCGGCGCAAGCUGCCGCUUGCAGAUGGGCCCGCGGCGCAUUAGCUAGUUGGUGAGGUAACGGCUCACCAAGGCGACGAUGCGUAGCCGACCUGGGAGGGUGAUCGGCCACACUGGGACUGCGACACGGCCCAGACUCCUACGGGAGGCAGCAGUAGGGAAUCUUCCGCAAUGGACGAAAGUCUGACGGAGCAACGCCGCGUGAGCGAAGAAGGUCUUCGGAUCGUAAAGCUCUGUUGUCAGGGAAGAACAAGUACCGUUCGAAUAGGGCGGUACCUUAACGGUACCUGAUCAGAAAGCCACGGCUAACUACGUGCCAGCCGCCGCCGUAA